UACGGGGGGGGCAAGCGUUGUUCGGAAUUACUGGGCGUAAAGGGCUCGUAGGCGGCCAACUAAGUCAGACGUGAAAUCCCCAGGCUCAACCUGGGAACUGCGUCUGAUACUGGAUGGCUUGAAUCCGGGAGAGGGAUGCAGAAUUCCAGGUGUAGCGGUGAAAUGCGCAGAUAUCGGGAGGAACAUCAGUGGCGAAGGCGGCCUUCUGGUCCAGUACUGACACUCAAGUGCGAAAGCGUGGGGAGCAAACAGG
This 253-nucleotide ribosomal RNA is filed under the name uncultured bacterium. RNAcentral's name for it is "partial 16S ribosomal RNA". It matches the Rfam family "Bacterial small subunit ribosomal RNA", at positions 524 to 776 of the family's 1533-position model. The record is from RNAcentral.